RNAcentral lists this ribosomal RNA (225 nucleotides) under uncultured Acinetobacter sp. Its description in RNAcentral is "partial 16S ribosomal RNA". It matches the Rfam family "Bacterial small subunit ribosomal RNA", at positions 568 to 792 of the family's 1533-position model. Lineage: Bacteria; Pseudomonadati; Pseudomonadota; Gammaproteobacteria; Moraxellales; Moraxellaceae. The record is from RNAcentral.
UGCGUAGGCGGCUUCUUAAGUCGGAUGUGAAAUCCCUGAGCUUAACUUAGGAAUUGCAUUCGAUACUGGGAAGCUAGAGUAUGGGAGAGGAUGGUAGAAUUCCAGGUGUAGCGGUGAAAUGCGUAGAGAUCUGGAGGAAUGCCGAUGGCGAAGGCAGCCAACUGGCCUGAUACUGACGCUGAGGUACGAAAGCAUGGGGAGCAAACAGGAUUAGAUACCCCGGUA